UCCUUCUCGUUUUGGNGACUACUCUUAUG
This 29-nucleotide non-coding RNA is filed under the name Mus musculus (house mouse). Lineage: Eukaryota; Metazoa; Chordata; Mammalia; Rodentia; Muridae. The record is from RNAcentral.